GAUGAACGCUGACAGAAUGCUUAACACAUGCAAGUCAACUUGAAUUUGGGUUUUUAACUUAGGUUUGGGUGGCGGACGGGUGAGUAACGCGUAAAGAACUUGCCUCACAGCUAGGGACAACAUUUGGAAACGAAUGCUAAUACCUAAUAUUAUGAUAAUAGGGCAUCCUAUAAUUAUGAAAGCUAUAAGCGCUGUGAGAGAGCUUUGCGUCCCAUUAGCUAGUUGGAGAGGUAACGGCUCACCAAGGCGAUGAUGGGUAGCCGGCCUGAGAGGGUGAUCGGCCACAAGGGGACUGAGACACGGCCCGUACGCCUACGGGAGGCAGCAGUGGGGAAUAUGGGACAAUGGACCAAGAGUCUGAUCCAGCAAUUCUGUGUGCACGAUGAAGUUUUUCGGAAUGUAAAGUGCUUUCAGUUGGGAAGAAAGAAAUGACGGUACCAACAGAAGAAGUGACGGCUAAAUACGUG
This 467-nucleotide ribosomal RNA is filed under the name uncultured bacterium. RNAcentral describes it as "partial 16S ribosomal RNA". It matches the Rfam family "Bacterial small subunit ribosomal RNA", at positions 28 to 507 of the family's 1533-position model. The record is from RNAcentral.